AUGGAAGCUCGACCAAAAAAGAGCACGAUCAUGGGAGAGAAGCUCAACCUCCUGGCCCCAUUGUGGUCCAUAAUAUUUGAUAAAUGGGUUUUUCAGUGUUUUAUUUUUGCUGAAAGAAAGAGAAAGUGUCCGAUAAAUGAAACUGGUGAGGAGCAGCUAAUGAAAUCUGAAACUGCAGAAGUUGAAGUUGCAUGCAAAAUAGUACACCAUACUCCAUUUCUACAAAAUGUUGAAGCUUCUGAGCGGAUGGAGAAUGAUACAUCUACAGGAAGGCCAUCUGUAGAAAGCAACAUCAUUAUCUUUAACCAACAACUGAACUGCAGCAGCAGCGCACUAACAUCAGUUAGACGGCGAGGCAGGACACAACAACAACAACUAGCAGCAACCAAAAAAUGUAGGCUAGGUCAUGACGGCGGCACUGACAUGGAGGAGAAUCCUUUUUCAAUCGCCAUCAACAUGGUUGUCCCUAUAGGCCAACUAUCAACUUUACCAUUCUGA
RNAcentral lists this ribosomal RNA (498 nucleotides) under Triticum aestivum (bread wheat). RNAcentral describes it as "partial small subunit ribosomal RNA". Lineage: Eukaryota; Viridiplantae; Streptophyta; Magnoliopsida; Poales; Poaceae. The record is from RNAcentral.